ACUGUAACUGACACUGAGGCACGAAAGCGUGGGUAGCAAACAGGAUUAGAUACCCUGGUAGUCCACGCCGUAAACGAUGAGUACUAGGUGUAGGAGGUAUCGACUCCUUCUGUGCCGCAGUUAACACAAUAAGUACUCCGCCUGGGAAGUACGAUCGCAAGAUUAAAACUCAAAGGAAUUGACGGGGGCCCGCACAAGCAGCGGAGCAUGUGGUUUAAUUCGAAGCAACGCGAAGAACCUUACCUGGACUUGACAUCUCCUGAAUUACUCUUAAUAGAGGAAGCCCUUCGGGGCAGGAAGACAGGUGGUGCAUGGUUGUCGUCAGCUCGUGUCGUGAGAUGUUAGGUUAAGUCCUGCAACGAGCGCAACCCUUAUCAUUAGUUGCUACCAUUAAGUUGAGCACUCUAGUGAGACUGCCCGGGUUAACCGGGAGGAAGGUGGGGAUGACGUCAAAUCAUCAUGCCCCUUAUGUCCAGGGCUACACACGUGCUACAAUGGUGAGUACAACAAGAUGCAAUCCCGUGAGGGGGAGCCAAACUUAUAAAACUCAUCUCAGUUCGGAUUGUAGGCUGAAACUCGCCUACAUGAAGCUGGAGUUGCUAGUAAUCGCGAAUCAGCAUGUCGCGGUGAAUACGUUCCCGGGCCUUGUACACACCGCCCGUCACACCAUGAGAGCUGGCAACACCCGAAGUCCGUAGUCUAACCGUAAGGAGGACGCGGCCGAAGGUGGGGUUAGUGAUUGGGGUGAAG
Molecule: ribosomal RNA, 750 nt
Filed under: uncultured bacterium
Lineage: Bacteria
Description: bacterial SSU rRNA
Rfam family: Bacterial small subunit ribosomal RNA
Source: RNAcentral